CCACGGGUCACCGGGCUCGAACGGCCGUGGGUCUCGGAAGUUCCCCUAGAGCAUCCUCAUGGUUCUUGGGCUCCGCAUGUGAGCAGGUCCGCUGGAAAGAGAAAUGGAUGCCGGGAGUGGAGGCGAGGACUUUGCGAACUCGGGCCCCAGCCGGCGGUGGGCAUGAGCGGAGGGAAACGCUCCAGGUGAACGCGAGCUGCGACAGAGGUAUACCAUGAAGGAAAAAUUUCAAGAAAUGGCUGGAAGAGGAGGAAAAUGAAGAAUCCUUUAAUGAAGUGUUUUUUUGCCUAUUUAAUUAAAUCCAGGAAACAUCCUCACCAGGCUCUGACCUGUGAAUGGCUGCAGAAAGAAGAAAUUAACACAUCCCCUCCAGAGUCUGGCCGGAACCAAGAACUAUGUGCAACACCUUAUCACCUUUUUUACUUUACCUCCUCACCUCCCCCUCUUUGUUCUAUAAAAGAAACUAGCAUCCAAACCCAGGUAAGAUGGUUCUUUGGGACACUAGUCCACCACCUACACAGUCUGCUGGCUUUCUGAAUAAAGUCGCUAUUCCUGGCCCCA
This is a long non-coding RNA of Hippopotamus amphibius kiboko, 561 nucleotides long. RefSeq lists it as uncharacterized. NCBI's taxonomy places the organism in Eukaryota, Metazoa, Chordata, Mammalia, Artiodactyla, Hippopotamidae. The record is from RefSeq and is a predicted model, not a curated record. The transcript has 3 exons.